This 256-nucleotide ribosomal RNA is filed under the name uncultured bacterium. Its description in RNAcentral is "partial 16S ribosomal RNA". It matches the Rfam family "Bacterial small subunit ribosomal RNA", at positions 524 to 776 of the family's 1533-position model. The record is from RNAcentral.
UACGUAGGGCGCAAGCGUUAUCCGGAAUUAUUGGGCGUAAAGAGCUCGUAGGCGGUUUGUCGCGUCUGCCGUGAAAAGUCCGGGGGCUCAACUCCGGAUCUGCGGUGGGUACGGGCAGACUAGAGUGAUGUAGGGGGAGACUGGAAUUCCUGGUGUAGCGGUGAAAUGCGCAGAUAUCAGGAGGAACACCGAUGGCGAAGGCAGGUCUCUGGGCAUUAACUGACGCUGAGAAGCGAAAGCAUGGGGAGCGAACAGG